CAUUAAAGCGGUACGCGAGCUGGGUUCAGAACGUCGUGAGACAGUUCGGUCCCUAUCCGUCGUGGGCGCAGGAAAUUUGAGAGGAUCUGUCCUUAGUACGAGAGGACCGGGAUGGACAUACCUCUGGUGUACCAGUUGUUCUGCCAAGAGCACCGCUGGGUAGCUACGUAUGGAUUAGAUAAUCGCUGAAAGCAUCUAAGUGAGAAACUAACCUCGAGAUGAGAUUUCCCAUUCGUCAGAAGUAAGACCCCUGAGAGACGAUCAGGUAGAUAGGCUAGAAGUGGAAGUGUAGUGAUGCAUGGAGCGGACUAGUACUAAUAGGUCGAGGACUUAACCAAG
This 339-nucleotide ribosomal RNA is filed under the name Oenococcus oeni. Its description in RNAcentral is "bacterial LSU rRNA". It matches the Rfam family "Bacterial large subunit ribosomal RNA", at positions 2586 to 2925 of the family's 2925-position model. The record is from RNAcentral. Lineage: Bacteria; Bacillati; Bacillota; Bacilli; Lactobacillales; Lactobacillaceae.